UCCGCCGUGAGGCGGAAUCCGAAGGAAGCCGGCGGCAAACCUCCGGUCCGACGAACAGGAACCGCAUAGGAGGCUAACAGCAGUUGGAUGAGCUUGCGAACCAAAGCGAAGUCCUUGCUACCGAAGGCUGCUGAGAGUAUAUGCGGCGGAUGGAUGGAGGGAAAGUCAACGCU
Non-coding RNA from Thermanaeromonas toyohensis ToBE, 173 nucleotides. Lineage: Bacteria; Bacillati; Bacillota; Clostridia; Neomoorellales; Neomoorellaceae. The record is from Rfam.